UGCUAGACCGAAUCUGACGCUGAGGGACGAAAGCUAGGGGAGCGAAUGGGAUUAGAUACCCCAGUAGUCCUAGCCGUAAACGAUGGAGACUAGGUGUUGCCUGUAUCGACCCGGGCAGUGCCGAAGCCAACGCGUUAAGUCUCCCGCCUGGGGAGUACGCACGCAAGUGUGAAACUCAAAGGAAUUGACGGGGGCCCGCACAAGCGGUGGAGUAUGUGGUUUAAUUCGAUGCAACGCGAAGAACCUUACCAGGGCUUGACAUCCCGCGAAUCUUCCCGAAAGGGGAGAGUGCCUACGGGAACGCGGAGACAGGUGGUGCAUGGCUGUCGUCAGCUCGUGUCGUGAGAUGUUGGGUUAAGUCCCGCAACGAGCGCAACCCUCGUCCUUAGUUGCCAGCCUUAAGUGGGGCACUCUAGGGAGACUGCCGGUGAUAAACCGGAGGAAGGUGGGGAUGACGUCAAGUCAUCAUGCCCCAUAUGUCCUGGGCUACACACGUACUACAAUGGUCGGGACAACGAGCAGCCAACUUGCGAAAGCGAGCUAAUCUCUUAAACCCGGCCUCAGUUCAGAUUGCAGGCUGCAACUCGCCUGCACGAAGGAGGAAUCGCUAGUAAUCGCAGGUCAGCAUACUGCGGUGAAUCCGUUCCCGGGCCUUGCACUCACCGCCCGUC
RNAcentral lists this ribosomal RNA (671 nucleotides) under uncultured bacterium. RNAcentral's name for it is "bacterial SSU rRNA". It matches the Rfam family "Bacterial small subunit ribosomal RNA", at positions 727 to 1398 of the family's 1533-position model. The record is from RNAcentral.